This 816-nucleotide long non-coding RNA is filed under the name Cucumis sativus (cucumber). Its description in RNAcentral is "long non-coding RNA (CSAT_LNC000826)". Lineage: Eukaryota; Viridiplantae; Streptophyta; Magnoliopsida; Cucurbitales; Cucurbitaceae. The record is from RNAcentral.
CGAUAUUCCUCCUCAUCGAUCUGGAUACGAUAAUUAUGAUCAUCCUGUAGUUAACCCUAAAGUAGGAUACGAACAUGACCGUCGUGAUGGAUACUACCAUGACCGUGACCAUCAUGAUGCACCUUAUGGUGGUGGUGCUGGUGGAGGAUAUGGAGCUGGAGCUGGAGCUGGCUCAUCUCUUGGAGGCUCUGGAUAUGGAAGUGGAGGAGGUGGUGGUUCUGGAUAUGGAGGUGUAGGAAACCACGAGGUUGGUUAUGGUAGUGGUGGAGGGGGUGGAUAUGGAGCUGGAGUUGGCUCUGACCUUGGUGGUAGCGGAUACGGAAGCGGUGGUGGUGGAGGCAGUGGAGGAGGAUACGGUGAUUUAGGAGGACGUGGAAAAGGGUACGGUAGCGGUGGAGGUGGAGGAAGUGGAUAUGGAGGUAGAGGAGACCAUGGAGUUGGUUAUGGAAGUGGUGGAGGUGGAGGAUAUGGAAGUGGAGUAGGUGGUGGUGCAGGAGUGGUAGACCAUGGUGUAGGUUAUGGGAGUGGAGGAGGAGGUGGGGCUGGUAGUGGUUAUGGUGGUUCCAAAGGAUAUGGAGGUGGAAGCGGCGGCGGUGGGGGAGCCGGUUAUGGUGGUGGAGCACAUGGAAGUGGAUAUGGAAGUGGUGGUGGAGCUGGAAGUGGUGAAGAAGGAGGAUAUGAUGGUGGAUAUGCACCGUAAACAAAGAAAAGAAAAGAAAAAGCUCAAAGUUUUAUGGCUAAAAUGAGAAUGCUUACCCUAAUAUCAUCAAUGUGUGUGUGUGUUAGCAAAAAAAAAAAAUAAAAGAAUUUGGGUAA